GAUAAACGCUAGCGGCAGGCCUAACACAUGCAAGUCGAGGGGCAGCGUGGAAGUAGUUUACUACUUCUGACGGCGACCGGCGCACGGGUGCGUAACGCGUAUGCAACCUACCUAUAACAGGGGGAUAAUUCCGAGAAAUUGGUUCUAAUACCCCAUACUAUAUUGAAUGGCAUCCUUUGAUAUUGAAAGUUCCGGCGGUUAUAGAUGGGCAUGCGUUGUAUUAGCUAGUUGGUGAGGUAACGGCUCACCAAGGCGACGAUACAUAGGGGGACUGAGAGGUUAGCCCCCCACACUGGUACUGAGACACGGACCAGACUCCUACGGGAGGCAGCAGUGGGGAAUAUUGCACAAUGGAGGGAACUCUGAUGCAGCAACGCCGCGUGAAGGAAGAAGGUUUUCGGAUCGUAAACUUCUAUCGACAGGGACGAAAAGAAUGACGGUACCUGAGUAAGAAGCCCCGGCUAACUACGUGCCAGCCGCCGCUGUAAUAC
This 491-nucleotide ribosomal RNA is filed under the name uncultured bacterium. RNAcentral describes it as "bacterial SSU rRNA". It matches the Rfam family "Bacterial small subunit ribosomal RNA", at positions 28 to 526 of the family's 1533-position model. The record is from RNAcentral.